RNAcentral lists this small RNA (125 nucleotides) under Marmota monax (woodchuck). Lineage: Eukaryota; Metazoa; Chordata; Mammalia; Rodentia; Sciuridae. The record is from RNAcentral.
GCCAGGCAUGGUGGUGCAUGCUUAUAAUCCCAGCAGCUGGUGAGGCUGAGGCAGGAGGAUCAUGACUUCAAAGGCAGCCUCAGCAACUGCGAGGCACUAAGCAACUCAGUGAGACCCUGUCUCUA